Long non-coding RNA from Armigeres subalbatus, 457 nucleotides. RefSeq lists it as uncharacterized. The record is from RefSeq and is a predicted model, not a curated record. Lineage: Eukaryota; Metazoa; Arthropoda; Insecta; Diptera; Culicidae. The transcript has 3 exons.
CACCUUCCCAUCCAACACUUCUAUACACAGGUAAGGUACACAACCUGCUCCCCACGUACGUUGGAGAGAAACGUCACGGGCAGACCGAUUGUACCCAGAAGAAAAAAGAACAACUAGUGACCAUUCCCACGUUUAUUUGCUAAAUUAAGUUAGUUCCAAAAUAUUGAAUACUAAAAGCGUUUCUAAAGUGAACUCAACCCAAUUAUUAGUGAGAACCUAAUUGUAUUCCCUACAAUCUAGUGAACUAAUAAUAACCUACAAUUUGUUUACAUCUUAAUCCUACAUGCGAAGUACGGUAAAGGACUAGAACUAGGUGAAUAUUUCCAUAAUAGCUAGUACGAGCCAGAACGAGUGAUAUUAGUUCGACCAUUGUGAACCUGAUGACCCGCAAAUCUGCACAACGGGACUAAACGUAAGUCAUGACAGGGCAAAAACAUUGAAUGAUCGAUAAACACAU